This 730-nucleotide ribosomal RNA is filed under the name uncultured bacterium. RNAcentral describes it as "bacterial SSU rRNA". It matches the Rfam family "Bacterial small subunit ribosomal RNA", at positions 771 to 1501 of the family's 1533-position model. The record is from RNAcentral.
AACAGGAUUAGAUACCCUGGUAGUCCACGCCGUAAACGAUGAGUGCUAGGUGUUGGGGGGCUACGCCCCUCAGUGCCGAAGGUAACCCAUUAAGCACUCCGCCUGGGGAGUACGGCCGCAAGGCUGAAACUCAAAGGAAUUGACGGGGGCCCGCACAAGCGGUGGAGCAUGUGGUUUAAUUCGAAGCAACGCGAAGAACCUUACCAGGGCUUGACAUCCCGCUGACCCCUCCAGAGAUGGAGGUUUCCUUCGGGACAGCGGUGACAGGUGGUGCAUGGUUGUCGUCAGCUCGUGUCGUGAGAUGUUGGGUUCAGUCCCGCAACGAGCGCAACCCUUGUCGUUAGUUGCCAGCAUUUCGGAUGGGCACUCUAACGAGACAGCCGGUGAAAGCCGGAGGAAGGUGGGGAUGACGUCAAAUCAUCAUGCCCCUUAUGUCCUGGGCUACACACGUGCUACAAUGGCUGGUACAAAGGGCAGCGAACCCGCGAGGGGGAGCCAAUCCCAAAAAGCCAGUCUCAGUUCGGAUCGCAGGCUGCAACUCGCCUGCGUGAAGCCGGAAUCGCUAGUAAUCGCGGAUCAGCAUGCCGCGGUGAAUAUGUUCCCGGGCCUUGUACACACCGCCCGUCACACCACGAGAGCUUGCAACACCCGAAGUCGGUGAGGCAACCUUUUAGGAGCCAGCCGCCGAAGGUGGGGCAGAUGAUUGGGGUGAAGUCGUAACAAGGUAACC